UUAAGCAUAUCAAUAAGCGGAGGAAAAGAAACUAACAAGGAUUCCCCUAGUAACUGCGAGUGAAGCGGGAAAAGCUCAAAUUUAAAAUCUGGCAGUCUCUGGCUGUCCGAGUUGUAAUCUAGAGAAGUAAUGCCCGUGCUGGACCGUGUAUAAGUCUCCUGGGAUGGGGCGUCAUAGAGGGUGAGAAUCCCGUCUUUGACACGGACUACCAGUGCAUUGUGGUAUGCUCUCAAAGAGUCGAGUUGUUUGGGAAUGCAGCUCAAAAUGGGUGGUAAAUUCCAUCUAAAGCUAAAUAUUGGCGAGAGACCGAUAGCGAACAAGUACCGUGAGGGAAAGAUGAAAAGAACUUUGGAAAGAGAGUUAAACAGUACGUGAAAUUGCUGAAAGGGAAACGCUUGAAGUCAGUCGCGUUGGCCGGGAAUCAGCCUUGCUUUUGCUUGGUGUACUUUCUGGUUGACGGGUCAGCAUCAAUUUUGACCGCUGGAAAAAGGCCUGGGGAAUGUGGCAGCUUCGGCUGUGUUAUAGCCCCUAGUCGCAUACAGUGGCUGGGAUUGAGGAACUCAGCACGCCGCAAGGCCGGGUUUCGACCACGUUCGUGCUUAGGAUGCUGGCAUAAUGGCUUUAAGCGACCCGUCUUGAAACACGGACCAAGGAGUCUAACAUGCCUGCGAGUAUUUGGGCGGAAAACCCAAGUGCGUAAUGAAAGUGAAAGUUGAGAUCCCUGUCGUGGGGAGCAUCGACGCCCGGACCAGAACUUUUGGGACGGAUCCGCGGUGGAGCAUGUAUGUUGGGACCCGAAAGAUGGUGAACUAUGCCUGAAUAGGGUGAAGCCAGAGGAAACUCUGGUGGAGGCUCGUAGCGAUUCUGACGUGCAAAUCGAUCGUCAAAUUUGGGUAUAGGGGCGAAAGACUAAUCGAACCAUCUAGUAGCUGGUUCCUGCCGAAUUCCCCUC
Molecule: ribosomal RNA, 952 nt
Filed under: Agaricus sp.
Lineage: Eukaryota; Fungi; Basidiomycota; Agaricomycetes; Agaricales; Agaricaceae
Description: LSU rRNA
Rfam family: Eukaryotic large subunit ribosomal RNA
Source: RNAcentral